AGACUUCAGUGAGGCAGAGUUGCAAAAAGUCAUCAGCCUCCCUCUUUCUUCCAGAGUCAUCAAAGUCCAAUGGCAAGACAACAAUCAGGAUGACUGAAGAUGGCUCAGAUGCAGUGAAUGACCUUGGCAUCUUUGAUGUCUGACCCAGCUCCACAGCACCAGCCUUCAUGACUGUUGGAACAAAUUCUUCUCAUCUACCCAUUCUACUUCCAAAAAUAUUCAUGUGCCUGGGGUAGACACCCCCCCCCCCCCACUUAUUGGGAAGACUUCAUGUGCUUGGAAUUGACAUCCCUUGAACUCACUGGUUUGAAGCCUGUUGGUUAUCUUCAAUCUGUCUACCAUUAUGGUUUUGCCAGGGUGUGGCCACUGUGCAUGCUACAACUUUUUGGAGCCACAGAUGAUGAAACAGCCCCUGAGAGGAAAUGACCUGGGCACAAACCGAAUCCUCUAAACUCCACCUUUAGCAUUCUCCUGGAUUCAGCAUCUAGAAGUUUCUAAGGAUUCAAAUGCUUUAGGGGUAAAGACCCAGGAUCUAGAUGAAGGAAUGACAUUUUUCAUUGUAACCAAAUAGUCAAACACUGUGUCAAAGCAACCAGAUACUGUGGCCAGAGAAACAGCAUGGUUGGUUUCCUUCUAUAGAUUCGGCCCCUUUUUCUGGAAUAUCUCCAAUCUUUGACUUCCUGAUUAUAAAAUUCCUGGAUGAAAAAGUCCCCUCCACUGUAUUGGGUUUUCUGACUGUUGCCAAGAAAAUGCUCACCUUUGUUUUUUGGAAUAAAAUGUUGAAUCCCAC
This 790-nucleotide long non-coding RNA is filed under the name Monodelphis domestica (gray short-tailed opossum). RNAcentral's name for it is "lncRNA (ENSMODG00000032681.2)". The record is from RNAcentral. Lineage: Eukaryota; Metazoa; Chordata; Mammalia; Didelphimorphia; Didelphidae.